GUUCUUAUCCAUUUUAAUAGUAGAGAGACUAAGAAGGAGGCAACGUCGUUCGUAUCUUUUCUACUUUCAUGCGAGAGAAAUAAUAUUUCUACGAUUCUACGACGCCAUAUUUUUUUUUUUUUUUUUUUUUGCUAAUACUAUCAUAAACAUUUUUAGCUUCAGAUAGAUUUAUUUAGAUUUGAUUUAUGAUUGAACAUUUUUCAUAUAAACGACGAUUAUCAAGUAUUAUUGGGCAAUGAUGCUUUAAGUAUAAUUCCUAUUGACUUGUUGUAGUGCUGGAGCAUAAACAUAUGCCAUUGUAUACAAAUAAAAAUUGAGAAGACCAUAUAGAGCCAUAAAUUGUGCUGAUGUGCGAUAGUAUGUA
Long non-coding RNA from Vespa crabro (European hornet), 364 nucleotides. RefSeq lists it as uncharacterized. The record is from RefSeq and is a predicted model, not a curated record. The transcript is spliced from 2 exons. NCBI's taxonomy places the organism in Eukaryota, Metazoa, Arthropoda, Insecta, Hymenoptera, Vespidae.